GACGAACGCUGGCGGCGUGCUUAACACAUGCAAGUCGAACGGAAAGGCCCUGCUUUUGUGGGGUGCUCGAGUGGCGAACGGGUGAGUAACACGUGAGUAACCUGCCCUUGACUUUGGGAUAACUUCAGGAAACUGGGGCUAAUACCGGAUAUGAGCUCCUGCUGCAUGGUGGGGGUUGGAAAGUUUCGGCGGUUGGGGAUGGACUCGCGGCUUAUCAGCUUGUUGGUGUGGUAGUGGCUUACCAAGGCUUUGACGGGUAGCCGGCCUGAGAGGGUGACCGGCCACAUUGGGACUGAGAGACGGCCCAGACUCCUACGGGAGGCAGCAGUGGGGAAUAUUGCACAAUGGGCGGAAGCCUGAUGCAGCAACGCCGCGUGCGGGAUGACGGCCUUCGGGUUGUAAACCGCUUUCGCCUGUGACGAAGCGUGAGUGACGGUAAUGGGUAAAGAAGCACCGGCUAACUACGUG
RNAcentral lists this ribosomal RNA (468 nucleotides) under uncultured bacterium. RNAcentral's name for it is "partial 16S ribosomal RNA". It matches the Rfam family "Bacterial small subunit ribosomal RNA", at positions 28 to 507 of the family's 1533-position model. The record is from RNAcentral.